UGACAUGCAAUGAAAGUGGCAGUCCCCUCAAGGAUUCUUAAAAAUGUCAAGGCAAACCAAAUGCUAGCAAUUGAAUUAGUGGCAAGGAUAACCAGAGUCAGGCACUUCACUAGGGAGAGAUAAACUAUUAAUGGCAAACUUUUCCUAGAUGCUUUAAAUGAAAGCUUAGAUUAAAGUGCCUUGCUACUUGAAAACAAGAUAACAAAUAUCAUAAAAUGAUUUAAGUAGGCUAACAUGGAGCACCUAAAGACAUAAUAAGCUUAUAAUGAUGCCGACUGUAGUCUUGCCUACAACCUUCUUGACCCUUUUAUAGAGAUCUAACUAGAUCAUUGCAUCCCUCACACACAUGUUAUGUUCAAAUAUCUGGCUCCUCUUUCUCCUCAGAUACAUGGCAAAUGCAUUUCCCUUUCUUUGACCACGUUAUGUACCUUACUUUUCUAUCCUUGCAACAAACUCCAUAUUCCAACUGAACACUCCUUAGAGUUGCCAUGUCAACAAUCUAGGCCAUUUUCAGUCGAUCAAAUUUCUCCUUUUGACUACUUAACCUAACAUGGGUCUCACCCUCACUGUAUUAGCUUUGGGGAAAAGACUUAUGCAUAACUAACCCAAUAAUAUGGCUAAGCUCAUUCAAUUCAUUGCAAAUCCCAGUACUAGUCAGUGUUGUAAAAGGUGAGAAGAGGCGUUGGGCAAGUCGAGAGGCGAGGCGAGGCUAGGCGAGGCAAUGCUCCAGCGACUCCCCAGGCCAAG
This 747-nucleotide unclassified non-coding RNA is filed under the name Hevea brasiliensis (rubber tree). Lineage: Eukaryota; Viridiplantae; Streptophyta; Magnoliopsida; Malpighiales; Euphorbiaceae. The record is from RNAcentral.